RNAcentral lists this long non-coding RNA (649 nucleotides) under Fragaria vesca (wild strawberry). RNAcentral describes it as "long non-coding RNA (FVES_LNC000516)". The record is from RNAcentral. Lineage: Eukaryota; Viridiplantae; Streptophyta; Magnoliopsida; Rosales; Rosaceae.
GGAUAAAUGGGUGAACCGAACGUCGGAAAGAAAGCCGGGCCAACAAAGACAGACCUCAAAUCAUGGAAGGCGAACAAGAAAUUUGAGGCUUUUAUGGCAAAGAUGAGAAAGAUGUGGGAGAUCCUCGGUGGUGGUGGUCCGUAGGUGAGCCAAUCAUGAUGGGUAAUGGGGGGUUUUCCGAGGUUUUAGACUUUUAGUAUUAAAUAGUUGCUGUGUUUGUUUGUCCCCAUCAUGAUGCUCUCUGAUCUGUCCCCAUCAGAUCCUGCAGGUGUAAUUUUUUAAUUUCAAGUCAUGCUUUUAGGAGUCCGGUCUGUCCGAUCGUUAUGGUUUUGAGUCGAUGUCAUGGUUUUAGGAGUCCGAUCUGUCCGAUCGUUAUGGAUUUUCGAGUCGAUGUCACGGUUUUAGGAGUCCGAUCGUUAUGGAUUUUUGAGUCGAUCUGUCCGAUCUGUCUGUCGUAGAUUUCUCACUCUUUCCCGAAUGAUCCAAGUUCCAAAUGAGGAAUCGGGAGCUGAUGUAAUAUUUCCAACAUGAGAUGAUAUAUGAGAAAGAAAUCUUUAUUUUUGUUUAUUUUUUGUUGUUGUGAAUUUCCUUAUUCCUUAAUAUAUUUACCCAGAGAAAAUAGUAUUCAACCAAAACAAACAAAACCCAG